GCCAAAUGCAGGCCGUUCCAUUCAAAGGGCUGAGUGAAUAAAUGAGAAUAACAUCCUUGGGGACCUUCAGGAUCAGUUUACUCUGAAAAUGCUCAGCCUCACAAAGGGUCAGAGUCACAAGCACAUGAUGCCAAAGAACUGAAUACAAACCCACAGGCUGUUUGGUUUUCACACAUGGACUCAAAUCUGUUUGUGCUUAGACCAAUCUAUGAUGAGAAAUAAAAUCUGUGUUGCUUGACAUAUGCAUCAGAUUCAUCUUUUGUAUUUAAGCCACGAGAAUACAUUUCCACAAGUGACAGAGAUAGUGCAAGAAGAGGGGAUUGUUUUGUAUCACACGUGAAAAUGAUCACUGGUUUCUUCAGACACGCUGCCUCGUAGGACAGCAGCCUGCAGCCCCACACAAAGGAAAUUCAAUCCGCUCAACAGCUAAUUAAAAAAGCAUUACCUUUCCCCAGGGCUGACCUCCAGCAGUGAAAAGGAUAAAGAUGGGUAUCUGUCAAUCAUGUUUACCUAACAAACUCUGGCACAAUAUUGUGAUGAACAGACAGAUCUAAAAAAGGAUGGAUGAUAUCGCUCAGAACUCCAAGACUGACACAAUCAAGAAGGACUACUUGAUUUGUUUCGAAGGGAAUACUGAGUCAGAUUAUCAGUCCAUUGAGGUGAAUAUUCUGCAUCGUUCUGCUCAUGGGUGAGAACAGCGGUAGUGUGUUCAUCCGAAAGCAAAAUGUAGCAGCAAAGGCAGGAGUUUGU
Podarcis muralis (Common wall lizard) is the source of this 750-nucleotide long non-coding RNA. The record is from Ensembl. Lineage: Eukaryota; Metazoa; Chordata; Lepidosauria; Squamata; Lacertidae.